GGAUGGCGUUCAACUUUGACAGAAGCCGAGGACUGGAAAGAGAAGGCCUGAUAGAACCACAACCCUGAUGCUGUCUACCUGGGCACAGUUAAUAAUCAGGGCAGGUUAAUAGGUAGCCACCCGGACACUGAUAGGUUUCCUGCCGAAUGUUGAAAGACCGCGAAGAAGCCUCCCUGGGGACAGUGACCAAACUCUCCUUUGAAGGCUUAUAAACUCCUCCAGGACAGGAGCUCUGUCUUACCUCUUCUGUUGUUGCCACUUUGCUGUGUGGAGAGUCAAUGCUCAAGAGCUUCACAUUGGUGGCCCAGAAAUCAGUCUCAGCCCCUCCCAGUAUGGACCGCUCCUUGACAGCAGCCCUCUCUCCUAUAAAGGCAGAUGCAAGCUACGUUUGUGUGGGGAUGACACAACACAAAGGCCCUUGCCAGAUGUGAGCCCCUUGAUAUUGGAUUUCCCAGUCUUCAGAACUG
This is a long non-coding RNA of Pongo pygmaeus (Bornean orangutan), 467 nucleotides long. RefSeq lists it as uncharacterized. The transcript is spliced from 4 exons. NCBI's taxonomy places the organism in Eukaryota, Metazoa, Chordata, Mammalia, Primates, Hominidae. The record is from RefSeq and is a predicted model, not a curated record.